Molecule: long non-coding RNA, 1072 nt
Organism: Clupea harengus (Atlantic herring)
Lineage: Eukaryota; Metazoa; Chordata; Actinopteri; Clupeiformes; Clupeidae
Source: Ensembl
UCAGCAAGAAAGACUUAAGCAUUGCCUCAAAACUAAAACAGUUAAAAGAAAGCUGUAUAGAAAAUUACACUAACUGCUGGAAGAAUCAAAUGAAAGAAUCCAGCAAGCUAAAUGUAUACAGAACAUUAAAAAAGGACUGCAAAUUGGCACCAUACUUAAUCCAAAUAAAAAAUUAUAAACAAAGAAUUCUAUUAACAAAGUACAGGCUCAGCGACCAUAGUCUUGCAGUAGAAAACGGGCGACACAGACAAUGCUGGGUGGCUCCCGAAGGGAGACUAUGCGUCCACUGCAAUAUUAACGCUGUCGAAAAUGAGCCUCAUUUUCUGACGGAAUGUACAAAAUACCACAAUAUAAGAAGUGCAUAUUACAAACAAUUUGAAUACAUCCACCCAGGUUUCAUAAACCUAACGAACCAACAAAAACUACCAUUCCUCCUGGGGGUAAUAGAGACAUGUAACAUUUUAGCCUCCGAAUAUGUGCAGUCCUGCCACAUCCUCCGAGAGCAGGCCAUACCACCAAUAAACAUAGGCCUGAACUCAUAGUGUUUUUUUUUUUUAGUUUUUUUUUUUUUUUGUAUCUAUUCUUAUCUGUCUAUGUUUUUUCUUUACGUAAUUAUUAUAAUUGUAAUGUUUUUUAUUUAAGCAUUUUUAUUUUAUGUAUUUUUAUUUAAUUAACUUAUCUGUUCCUGUAUUACCAUUGUUGUUCUUAUUGUUGUUAUUAUUAUUGUUCUUAUUGUUUAAGUGCUUUGGCAACAGUGUACCAUACAUUCAUGCCAAUAAAGGCAUUGAAAAUUGAAAAUUGAAAAUUGUAUGAGAGAGAGAGAGAGAGAGAGACAUGGAUGGACAGUAAGGGACAGAGAGAGAGAGAGAGAGAGAGAGAGAGGGAGGAGGAGAGAGAUGGAUGGACAGUAAGGGACAGAGAGAGAGAGAGAGAAGAGCAGUAAAAAGAAACAGAGAGAGAUGGAAAGGAGUUCAGUGGUUCUCUGCACUCAGGCAGCCCACAGGUCAAACGGCUCAUUACCUGGAGUAACCUCUCUCUCUCUCUCUCUCUCUCUCUCUCUCUCUCUCUCUCU